Molecule: ribosomal RNA, 1386 nt
Filed under: Bacillus sp. GN23
Lineage: Bacteria; Bacillati; Bacillota; Bacilli; Caryophanales; Bacillaceae
Description: bacterial SSU rRNA
Rfam family: Bacterial small subunit ribosomal RNA
Source: RNAcentral
CUUGCUCCCUGAUGUUAGCGGCGGACGGGUGAGUAACACGUGGGUAACCUGCCUGUAAGACUGGGAUAACUCCGGGAAACCGGGGCUAAUACCGGAUGGUUGUUUGAACCGCAUGGUUCAAACAUAAAAGGUGGCUUCGGCUACCACUUACAGAUGGACCCGCGGCGCAUUAGCUAGUUGGUGAGGUAACGGCUCACCAAGGCAACGAUGCGUAGCCGACCUGAGAGGGUGAUCGGCCACACUGGGACUGAAACACGGCCCAGACUCCUACGGGAGGCAGCAGUAGGGAAUCUUCCGCAAUGGACGAAAGUCUGACGGAGCAACGCCGCGUGAGUGAUGAAGGUUUUCGGAUCGUAAAGCUCUGUUGUUAGGGAAGAACAAGUACCGUUCGAAUAGGGCGGUACCUUGACGGUACCUAACCAGAAUGCCACGGCUAACUACGUGCCAGCAGCCGCGGUAAUACGUAGGUGGCAAGCGUUGUCCGGAAUUAUUGGGCGUAAAGGGCUCGCAGGCGGUUUCUUAAGUCUGAUGUGAAGCCCCCGGCUCAACCGGGGAGGGUCAUUGGAAACUGGGGAACUUGAGUGCAGAAGAGGAGAGUGGAAUUCCACGUGUAGCGGUGAAAUGCGUAGAGAUGUGGAGGAACACCAGUGGCGAAGGCGACUCUCUGGUCUGUAACUGACGCUGAGGAGCGAAAGCGUGGGGAGCGAACAGGAUUAGAUACCCUGGUAGUCCACGCCGUAAACGAUGAGUGCUAAGUGUUAGGGGGUUUCCGCCCCUUAGUGCUGCAGCUAACGCAUUAAGCACUCCGCCUGGGGAGUACGGUCGCAAGACUGAAACUCAAAGGAAUUGACGGGGGCCCGCACAAGCGGUGGAGCAUGUGGUUUAAAUUMGAAGCAACGCGAAGAACCUUACCAGGUCUUGACAUCCUCUGACAAUCCUAGAGAUAGGACGUCCCCUUCGGGGGCAGAGUGACAGGUGGUGCAUGGUUGUCGUCAGCUCGUGUCGUGAGAUGUUGGGUUAAGUCCCGCAACGAGCGCAACCCUUGAUCUUAGUUGCCAGCAUUCAGUUGGGCACUCUAAGGUGACUGCCGGUGACAAACCGGAGGAAGGUGGGGAUGACGUCAAAUCAUCAUGCCCCUUAUGACCUGGGCUACACACGUGCUACAAUGGACAGAACAAAGGGCAGCGAAACCGCGAGGUUAAGCCAAUCCCACAAAUCUGUUCUCAGUUCGGAUCGCAGUCUGCAACUCGACUGCGUGAAGCUGGAAUCGCUAGUAAUCGCGGAUCAGCAUGCCGCGGUGAAUACGUUCCCGGGCCUUGUACACACCGCCCGUCACACCACGAGAGUUUGUAACACCCGAAGUCGGUGAGGUAACCUUUAGGAGCC